MicroRNA precursor from Fukomys damarensis (Damara mole-rat), 84 nucleotides. NCBI's taxonomy places the organism in Eukaryota, Metazoa, Chordata, Mammalia, Rodentia, Bathyergidae. The record is from Ensembl.
GUGCUCGGUUUGUAGGCAGUGUAAUUAGCUGAUUGUGCUGUAGUGCUUACAAUCACUAACUCCACUGCCAUCAAAACAAGGCAC